AUGCCAUCUGCUAGGAAUUCCCUUCUGUUCUCUUCUAUUCCAUUCCCUUCUAUUCCAUUCUAUUCCAUUUCCUUCUAUUCCAUUCUAUUCCAUUUCCUUCUAUUCCAUUCUAUUCUAUUCCCUUCCAUUCCAUUCUUUUCCAUUCCAUUCUAUUCCAUUCCAUUAUUUUCCAUUCCAUUCUAUUCUAUUCCAUUCCAUCUCUCUUCUAUUCCAUUCCCUUCUGUUCCCUUCUAUUAUAUUCCAUUCCCUUCUUUUACAUUCCAGUCUUUUCCAUUCCAUUCCCUUCCAUUAUAUUCUAUUCCAUCUCUCUUCUAUUCUAUUCCCUUCUAUUUUAUUCCAUUCCCUUCUAUUUUAUUCAAUUUCCUUCUAUUCCAUUCCCUUCUAUUCCAUUCCAUUCCAAUCUAUUCUAUUCUAUUCUAUUCCAUUCUAUUAUAUUCUAUUCUAUUCCCUUCUAUUCUAUUCUAUUCUAUUCUAUUCCCUUCUAUUCCAUUCCAUUCUAUUCUAUUCUAUUCCCUUCUAUUCUAUUCCCUUCUAUUCUAUUCCAUUCCAUCUCCCUUCUCCUCUCACAGUAUGUUUUCAUACCCCUCUGGUCCAGGUCUGCAGAGGGAUCAUCUAGGAUGGCCUCUGCUCCUCGAUCCACCAUCUCCACGCGUCAAGAUACAGUCCCACCCUCUCCUUCACUGGCCAAUCCUGCAGCUUGCUGUCCACCUACAACUGCCACAAACAACCAAUCAGCAACUACUCUGUCGCCAAGCAACAACCAGUCAACACUGGGUAAGAAAACAUUGACCCACCUGUCUUACCAUACCAGAUGAAAUACUUCACCAUAUCUUCACUUCAUAACACAUUCAUAACCUAUGGAUAAUCAGUGAGUAAGCAUUUCAUAAAUGCUUAAGUGACAUUACUGUGACACAGCAAAUAUAUCAACUUGUGUUUUUUGCUAUAAGCAUUAAUGGUACCUGUCGCCAUUAAAUGGUACCUGUCUCCGUUUAAUGGUACCUGUCUACGUUAAUGGUACCUGUCUCCAUUAAUGGUACCUGUCUCCAUUUAAUGGUACCUGUCUACGUUAAUGGUACCUGUCUACGUUAAUGGUACCUGUCUCUGUUAAUGGUACCUGUCUCCAUUAAUGGUACCUGUCUCCGUUAAUGGUACCCGUCUCCAUUAAUGGUACCUGUCUCCGUUAAUGGUACCUGUCUCCGUUAAUGGUACCUGUCUCCAUUUAAUGGUACCUGUCUCCGUUUAAUGGUACCUGUCUCCAUUUAAUGGUACCUGUCUCUGUUAAUGGUACCUGUCUCUGUUAAUGGUACCUGUCUCUGUUAAUGGUACCUGUCUCCAUUAAUGGUACCUGUCUCCGUUAAUGGUACCUGUCUCCAUUUAAUGGUACCUGUCUCCGUUUAAUGGUACCUGUCUCCAUUUAAUGGUACCUGUCUACGUUAAUGGUACCUGUCUCCGUUUAAUGGUACCUGUCUCCGUUUAAUGGUACCUGUCUCCAUUUAAUGGUACCUGUCUCCGUUUAAUGGUACCUGUCUCCAUUUAAUGGUACCUGUCUCCGUUAAUGGUACCUGUCUCCGUUUAAUGGUACCUGUCUCCGUUAAUGGUACCUGUCUACGUUAAUGGUACCUGUCUCCGUUAAUGGUACCUGUCUACGUUAAUGGUACCUGUCUACGUUAAUGGUACCUGUCUCCGUUUAAUGGUACCUGUCUCCGUUUAAUGGUACCUGUCUCCAUUUAAUGGUACCUGUCUCCGUUUAAUGGUACCUGUCUCCAUUUAAUGGUACCUGUCUCCGUUAAUGGUACCUGUCUCCGUUUAAUGGUACCUGUCUCCGUUAAUGGUACCUGUCUACGUUAAUGGUACCUGUCUCCGUUAAUGGUACCUGUCUACGUUAAUGGUACCUGUCUACGUUAAUGGUACCUGUCUCCGUUUAAUGGUACCUGUUUCCGUUAAUGGUACCUGUCUCCAUUUAAUGGUACCUGUCUCCGUUUAAUGGUACCUGUCUCCGUUAAUGGUACCUGUCUACGUUAAUGGUACCUGUCUACGUUAAUGGUACCUGUCUCCGUUUAAUGGUACCUGUCUCCGUUUAAUGGUACCUGUCUCCAUUUAAUGGUACCUGUCUACGUUAAUGGUACCUGUCUCCGUUUAAUGGUACCUGUCUACGUUAAUGGUACCUGUCUACGUUAAUGGUACCUGUCUCCGUUUAAUGGUACCUGUCUCCAUUUAAUGGUACCUGUCUCCGUUAAUGGUACCUGUCUCCGUUUAAUGGUACUUGUCUACGUUAAUGGUACCUGUCUCCGUUUAAUGGUACCUGUCUCCGUUAAUGGUACCUGUCUACGUUAAUGGUACCUGUCUCCGUUUAAUGGUACCUGUCUCCGUUUAAUGGUACCUGUCUCCAUUUAAUGGUACCUGUCUACGUUAAUGGUACCUGUCUCCGUUUAAUGGUACCUGUCUCCGUUUAAUGGUACCUGUCUCCAUUAAUGGUACCGGUCUCCAUUAAUGGUACCUGUCUAUGUUAAUGGUACCUGUCUAUGUUAAUGGUACCUGUCUCCGUUAAUGGUACCUGUCUCCGUUUAAUGGUACCUGUCUCCAUUAAUGGUACCUGUCUAUGUUAAUGGUACCUGUCUAUGUUAAUGGUACCUGUCUCCGUUUAAUGGUACCUGUCUCCGUUUAAUGGUACCUGUCUCCAUUAAUGGUACCGGUCUCCAUUAAUGGUACCGGUCUCCAUUAAUGGUACCUGUCUAUGUUAAUGGUACCUGUCUAUGUUAAUGGUACCUGUCUACGUUAAUGGUACCUGUCUCCGUUUAAUGGUACCUGUCUCCGUUAAUGGUACCUGUCUCCGUUAAUGGUACCUGUCUCCAUUAAUGGUACCUGUCUAUGUUAAUGGUACCUGUCUCCAUUAAAUGGUACCGGUCUCCAUUAAUGGUACCGGUCUCCAUUAAUGGUACCUGUCUAUGUUAAUGGUACCUGUCUAUGUUAAUGGUACCUGUCUACGUUAAUGGUACCUGUCUCCGUUUAAUGGUACCUGUCUCCGUUAAUGGUACCUGUCUCCAUUAAUGGUACCUGUCUAUGUUAAUGGUACCUGUCUCCAUUAAAUGGUACCGGUCUCCAUUAAUGGUACCGGUCUCCAUUAAUGGUACCUGUCUAUGUUAAUGGUACCUGUCUAUGUUAAUGGUACCGGUCUCCAUUAAAUUGUACCUGUCUACGUUAAUGGUACCUGUCUUUGUUAAUGGUACCUGUCUCCGUUAAUGGUACCUGUCUCCAUCCUCUCUCUUGUAGAAGUGAGUAGUCCAGUCCCUACACUGCGCAGCAUCAACAAGAAGGCCAAGUCCAGGCCUAUGGACAAGGACGGACGCUACCGGAACCGUCUAAGCCACACCUCCGCCCCCAUAUACCUGUCCAAGGCUAAGAAACCUGCCCCUGCACAGGACCUGGGGGGUGUAGGGGGAGUGGGGGGGGUCAACAACCGGCUGCCUGGACCGGGUGGGCCUGAAGACCAGCAGACACUGCCCCUGCCUCAGAGACAACGCAGGGACAACACACACAUCAGCACGGAGGAGGAAACAGGAGGAAGAUCAUCCCCUUCCAUUAUAGAUCUGCACAUCCUGGAGACAAACCAACACAUCUCAUCACACAACUGUCCCCAUCCUGACAGCUGCAGGUGGGUCUGCUUCUGUGGUUCUCUACACAGCUGGGGGUCUGCUUCUGUGGUUCUCUACACAGCUGGGGGUCUGCUUCUGUGGUUCUCUACACAGCUGUGGGUCUGCCUGUGUGGUUCUCUACACAGCUGUGAGUCUGCUUCUGUGGUUCUCUACGCAGCUGUGGGUCUGCCUGUGUGGUUCUCUACACAGCUGUGGGUCUGCUUCUGUGGUUCUCUACACAGCUGUGGGUCUGUGUGGUUCUCUUAAGACUGUAUUGGUAAAGUGUAGUUCAACUGUAAUUCAAUACAUGACACUAUGUGGAAUACAUGACCCUUUGUGGAAUACAUGACACUAUGUGGAAUACAUGACACUAUGUGGAAUACAUGACCCUAUGUGGAAUACAUGACCCUAUGUGGAAUACAUGACACUAUGUGGAAUACAUGACCCUAUGUGGAAUACAUGACCCUAUGUGGAAUACAUGACACUAUGUGGAAUACAUGACCCUUUGUGGAAUACAUGACCCUAUGUGGAAUACAUGACCCUAUGUGGAAUACAUGACCCUAUGUGGAAUACAUGACACUAUGUGGAAUACAUGACCCUAUGUGGAAUACAUGACCCUAUGUGGAAUACAUGACACUAUGUGGAAUACAUGACCCUUUGUGGAAUACAUGACCCUAUGUGGAAUACAUGACACUAUGUGGAAUACAUGACCCUAUGUGGAAUACAUGACACUAUGUGGAAUACAUGACACUAUGUGGAAUACAUGACCCUAUGUGGAAUACAUGACCCUAUGUGGAAUACAUGACCCUAUGUGGAAUACAUGACCCUAUGUGGAAUACAUGACCCUAUGUAGAAUACAUGACACUAUGUGGAAUACAUGACACUAUGUGGAAUACAUGACACUAUGUGGAAAUUGUGUGACUGCAUUGUAUAAUGAUUUUCGGUUUUGUCAACAGCUAUUCAGUAUCACUCCAAGGAACCAGGAACUCCUCCAUGUCACAAAUCACUCUACACAUGAGGUGAGUACAGACGGCCUGCUCCACACAUUAACCUGAACCAACACGGCCUGCUCCACACAUUCACCUGAACCAACACGGCCUGCUCCACACAUUAACCUGGACCAACACGGCCUGCUCCACACAUUCACCUGGACCAACA
RNAcentral lists this long non-coding RNA (4790 nucleotides) under Oncorhynchus mykiss (rainbow trout). RNAcentral's name for it is "lncRNA (ENSOMYG00000074927.1)". The record is from RNAcentral. Lineage: Eukaryota; Metazoa; Chordata; Actinopteri; Salmoniformes; Salmonidae.